This is a long non-coding RNA of Notothenia coriiceps (black rockcod), 1228 nucleotides long. RefSeq lists it as uncharacterized. NCBI's taxonomy places the organism in Eukaryota, Metazoa, Chordata, Actinopteri, Perciformes, Nototheniidae. The transcript has 3 exons. The record is from RefSeq and is a predicted model, not a curated record.
GUUGAGUUUAAUACAAAGCGUUCACAAACACAAGUCCUGAAAGGCUAUUUGGAAGAGAAGCAGCUGCUACUGGCCUACAAGACAGGCUAUAUUGACUAUGACUGCUGUUAUUCCAUUACACAAGGACCAGAGGGUAGGAUGCCAGAAGAGCAUCGUCCCAAACAAAGAAAAAAGACCACAAUAUCCAUCCAAUAUCUGAAAACAAUCCUUAAAAAUGCCUCCGGGCUUAAAUGUUGAGCCUCUGUUCAAUCCCAUCUCCUAAGGAAUGAAAUAAAAACAGAUGGAAAAUACAUUUAAGAAACAAUAUUCUUCCACAUAUCUCCAGGACCAAAUGCCUGGAGGGCCUGAAUGUUAAGUCCUUUGCUGCUCUUUGAGCGUGCGGUGGCAGGAGGAAGGAGCAAGCACAUAGAGAAGAGCACAUAAAUAACCCUCGGGACGGCCAGUAGAAACUAAGGUAAUGCAAGGCGACAGUAUUUGGAAUGGGAAAACACAAAUAAACUGGGUUAUUGCGGAUAAACCGAGAGAAGAUAUGGUAUUACUUAUCUUGUAAAAUGUAAGUCUCGCUCUUGUCAUCGUUCAGGCUUUGCAUUUGAACUCCUAUGACUGGUUGCGGACUUGAAGGGAACGCUUUCCUGACAUCCAGGAAAAAGAGGCAGUAGAUAUCUACUGGAAACAGUGGAGAGGGAGGAGAUGAUAUGCAGCAAAAGGCCCAGCCGGAUGGUUGCUGCUCCGUGUGGAACGUGUUCUAUCAGGUGUAACAUCUACCAAUGGUACUUGACAGAGACCUCCUCCACCUCUUUGCUGUCUUACUAGUCAAUCCUUCUGAUCAGGUCCUUUCCUAAAUAGUGGUAAGUUUUACAGUUCAGUGUACGUUAAUUUAGCAACUUAAUGCUUUACCACUGUUGAAUAAAUCCUAUAUUGCUAGUCAUUUUAUUAAAACUACGAUUUUAAACUUUUUGAUUCCAAUUACAAUAAGUUAUAAUUGUAAAACAUAUCUUAACAUCCAUCAGCAAUCAAUACAACAAAUCAUCCAACACUAAAUAGAAGAAAUCUGGACCUAUUUCUUUUUAUACAGCAGCAUAUUUUGGGACUGCUCAUUGAUGUCAUCAAGAGCCAUUGAGUCUCCCUUUUGUAGUCGGCCUCUUAGAAUGUUUAUCAUUUCUUUGUAUCUUAACAUUCCUAUAAUAAUUAGUUUUUUUAUUGUUGAUAUUGUUUUGUUCUUUAUUUU